RNAcentral lists this ribosomal RNA (447 nucleotides) under uncultured bacterium. RNAcentral's name for it is "bacterial SSU rRNA". It matches the Rfam family "Bacterial small subunit ribosomal RNA", at positions 355 to 825 of the family's 1533-position model. The record is from RNAcentral.
UGGGGAAUAUUGGACAAUGGGCGCAAGCCUGAUCCAGCCAUGCCGCGUGAGUGACGAAGGCCUUAGGGUUGUAAAGCUCUUUUGGCGGGGAAGAUAAUGACGGUACCCGCAGAAUAAGCUCCGGCUAACUUCGUGCCAGCAGCCGCGGUAAUACGAAGGGAGCUAGCGUUGUUCGGAAUCACUGGGCGUAAAGCGCACGUAGGCGGAUGUGUCAGUCAGGGGUGAAAUCCCGGAGCUCAACUUCGGAACUGCCCUUGAUACAGCACGUCUUGAGUCCGAUAGAGGUGGGUGGAAUUCCUAGUGUAGAGGUGAAAUUCGUAGAUAUUAGGAAGAACACCGGUGGCGAAGGCGGCCCACUGGAUCGGUACUGACGCUGAGGUGCGAAAGCGUGGGGAGCAAACAGGAUUAGAUACCCGAGUAGUCCCUGAGCGGGCUGGCAAGGCGCAU